CUGGCCGUAAACGAUGAACACUAGAUGUUGGGGGAAUCGACCCCUCCGGUGUCGUAGCUAACGCGUUAAGUGUUCCGCCUGGGGAGUACGCACGCAAGUGUGAAACUCAAAGGAAUUGACGGGGGCCCGCACAAGCGGUGGAGUAUGUGGUUUAAUUCGAUGCAACGCGAAGAACCUUACCAAGGCUUGACAUCCUGCGGAUCUCCAAGAAAUUGGAGAGUGCCUUCGGGAACGCAGUGACAGGUGGUGCAUGGCUGUCGUCAGCUCGUGUCGUGAGAUGCUGGGUUAAGUCCCGCAACGAGCGCAACCCACGUUUUUAGUUGCCAGCAUUCAGUUGGGCACUCUAGAAAGACUGCCGGUGACAAACCGGAGGAAGGUGUGGACGACGUCAAGUCAUCAUGCCCCUUACGCCUUGGGCUACACACGUACUACAAUGCUGCGGACAAAGAGUAGCGAUCUUGCAAAAGUUAGCUAAUCUCGUAAACCGUGGCUCAGUUCAGAUCGUAGGCUGCAACUCGCCUACGUGAAGGAGGAAUCGCUAGUAAUCGCAGGUCAGCAUACUGCGGUGAAUACGUUCCCGGGCCUUGUACACACCGCCCGUCACACCAUGGAAGUUGGCCAUGCCCGAAGUCGUUACUCUAACCUUUUGGAAGAGGGCGCCGAAGGCAGGGCUAAUGACUGGGGUGAAGUCGUAACAAGGUAGCCGUAGCGGAAGCUGCGGCUGGAUCACCUCCUAA
RNAcentral lists this ribosomal RNA (737 nucleotides) under Candidatus Synechococcus spongiarum. RNAcentral's name for it is "bacterial SSU rRNA". It matches the Rfam family "Bacterial small subunit ribosomal RNA", at positions 796 to 1533 of the family's 1533-position model. The record is from RNAcentral. Lineage: Bacteria; Bacillati; Cyanobacteriota; Cyanophyceae; Synechococcales; Synechococcaceae.